UUACUGGGCGUAAAGCGCACGCAGGCGGUCUGUCAAGUCGGAUGUGAAAUCCCCGGGCUCAACCUGGGAACUGCAUUCGAAACUGGCAGGCUAGAGUCUUGUAGAGGGGGGUAGAAUUCCAGGUGUAGCGGUGAAAUGCGUAGAGAUCUGGAGGAAUACCGGUGGCGAAGGCGGCCCCCUGGACAAAGACUGACGCUCAGGUGCGAAAGCGUGGGGAGCAAACAGGAUUAGAUACCCUGGUAGUCCACGCCGUAAACGAUGUCGACUUGGAGGUUGUGCCCUUGAGGCGUGGCUUCCGGAGCUAACGCGUUAAGUCGACCGCCUGGGGAGUACGGCCGCAAGGUUAAAACUCAAAUGAAUUGACGGGGGCCCGCACAAGCGGUGGAGCAUGUGGUUUAAUUCGAUGCAACGCGAAGAACCUUACCUACUCUUGACAUCCAGAGAACUUAGCAGAGAUGCUUUGGUGCCUUCGGGAACUCUGAGACAGGUGCUGCAUGGCUGUCGUCAGCUCGUGUUGUGAAAUGUUGGGUUAAGUCCCGCAACGAGCGCAACCCUUAUCCUUUGUUGC
This 568-nucleotide ribosomal RNA is filed under the name Enterobacter cloacae. RNAcentral's name for it is "bacterial SSU rRNA". It matches the Rfam family "Bacterial small subunit ribosomal RNA", at positions 551 to 1118 of the family's 1533-position model. The record is from RNAcentral. Lineage: Bacteria; Pseudomonadati; Pseudomonadota; Gammaproteobacteria; Enterobacterales; Enterobacteriaceae.